Scylla paramamosain (green mud crab) is the source of this 587-nucleotide long non-coding RNA. RefSeq lists it as uncharacterized. Lineage: Eukaryota; Metazoa; Arthropoda; Malacostraca; Decapoda; Portunidae. The transcript has 3 exons. The record is from RefSeq and is a predicted model, not a curated record.
CUUGGUACAGUUGAUCUCGCUACCACCCAGAGGCACAGCUGCUGAGAUGUCCCAGUACACGUCCUGGCUGUACUUGUAGUGAAGCAGCCUGUGGGGAGGGAGAGAGAGGACGUAAUGAAAGAGUUCUACCACACCAAGGACUAAUACCCGUCCAUCUGUGACCUGCCGUGACCUGUCCUGACCUGCGCAACAAGGAGAGGUCAUGCGUGGUCACCAACAACAGGAGGGGGAUGCCAGAGAGAGGACCAAGCCUGACCUGUCACAGAAAACGGAGGGGGUCACAAGGGAACACAAAGACACCCAGUAAUAGAACAAUCCAAGUGAGUGAUACAGUUGCGCAUAUCACUACAGAUAGAGAUGGGGAGAGAGAAGAGGGAGAGGAGAGAGAGAGAGGGGAGGAAUGAAGAGCAGGCGUGCGGUCUCCUAGUCCACAGAUACUGGUUACUAGUCCACAGGUCAUCGAGGCGGCCAGAUGGUUACCAGGGUGUCAUGACGCUGCUGGUGCUAACUGACAUAACGCUCACCCCCUCCCCCAUCCCUCCACCCGUACACCCUCCCCGCCUCUCUCUCUCUCUCUCUCUCUCUCU